Molecule: ribosomal RNA, 358 nt
Filed under: uncultured bacterium
Lineage: Bacteria
Description: bacterial SSU rRNA
Rfam family: Bacterial small subunit ribosomal RNA
Source: RNAcentral
CGCUCGACAUCAGAGUUUGUAUCCUGGCUCAGGAUGAACGCUGGCGGCGUGCUUAACACAUGCAAGUCGAACGAAGCUUAUUAACGGAAGUUUACGGAUGGAAGGAGAUAAGACUUAGUGGCGGACGGGGUGAGUAACGCGUGGGUAACCUGCCUUAUACAGGGGGGAUAACAGAGAGAAAUUUCUGCUAACACCGCAUAAGACCCCGGUAUCGCAUGAUGCGGAGGUAAAAUAUUAAUAGGUAUAAGAUGGACCCGCGUCUGAUUAGCUGGUUGGUGAGGUAGAGGCUCACCAAGGCGACGAUCAGUAGCCGGCCUGAGAGGGUGAACGGCCACAUUGGGACUGAGACACGGCCCAA